CAGUAGCCGCGGUAAUACGUAGGUCCCGAGCGUUGUCCGGAUUUAUUGGGCGUAAAGCGUGCGCAGGCAGUUGUGUAAGACAGGUGUGAAAUCCCCGGGCUUAACCUGGGAACUGCGCUUGUGACUGCACAGCUAGAGUAUGGCAGAGGGGGGUGGAAUUCCACGUGUAGCAGUGAAAUGCGUAGAGAUGUGGAGGAACACCGAUGGCGAAGGCAGCCCCCUGGGCCAAUACUGACGCUCAUGCACGAAAGCGUGGGGAGCAAACAGGAUUAGAUACCCCGGUAGUCCCUGUCUCUUAUAC
RNAcentral lists this ribosomal RNA (301 nucleotides) under uncultured bacterium. Its description in RNAcentral is "partial 16S ribosomal RNA". It matches the Rfam family "Bacterial small subunit ribosomal RNA", at positions 509 to 807 of the family's 1533-position model. The record is from RNAcentral.